CAGUCGCCGCGGUAAUGCGUAGGUGGCGAGCGUUGUCCGGAAUUAUUGGGCGUAAAGGGAGCGCAGGCGGACAUAUAAGUCCAUCUUAAAAGUGCGGGGCUCAACCCCGUGAGGGGAUGGAAACUGUAUGCCUUGAGUGCAGGAGAGGAAAGCGGAAUUCCCAGUGUAGCGGUGAAAUGCGUAGAUAUUGGGAGGAACACCAGUGGCGAAGGCGGCUUUCUGGACUGUAACUGACGCUGAGGCUCGAAAGCCAGGGGAGCGAACGGGAUUAGAUACCCCCGUAGUCCCUGUCUCUUAUACA
This 301-nucleotide ribosomal RNA is filed under the name uncultured bacterium. Its description in RNAcentral is "partial 16S ribosomal RNA". It matches the Rfam family "Bacterial small subunit ribosomal RNA", at positions 509 to 809 of the family's 1533-position model. The record is from RNAcentral.